UACGUAGGGUCCAAGCGUUGUCCGGAUUUAUUGGGCGUAAAGAGCUCGUAGGCGGUUUCGUAAGUCGGAUGUGAAAACUCAGGGCUCAACCCGGAGACGCCAUCUGAUACUGCGAUGACUUGAGUCUGGUAGGGGAACACGGAAUUCCUGGUGUAGCGGUGAAAUGCGCAGAUAUCAGGAGGAACACCGGUGGCGAAGGCGGUUCUCUGGGCAUGUCCUGACGCUGAGGAGCGAAAGUGUGGGGAGCGAACAGG
This 254-nucleotide ribosomal RNA is filed under the name uncultured bacterium. Its description in RNAcentral is "partial 16S ribosomal RNA". It matches the Rfam family "Bacterial small subunit ribosomal RNA", at positions 524 to 776 of the family's 1533-position model. The record is from RNAcentral.